CUCUUUUCUAGAAGAUCACAAGGAAGCUCUCUUCAAAGAAAUUGCUCAUAUGUGCACAUUCAUAUAGGAGAGAAAGGAGAGAAAGGACAAUACCUGCCUUUCAUUUAAUUUUUAUUAAGAUUUAAAACCAUGGCAGAAGCUAGUGUUUUAUAGCAACCCCAGCAGUACUAAUACUGGGGAGGGGAGAGGAGGGAGAAGCUUAGGCGAUAUAGCAAAGCAAAUAAUAAAACCUCCAACUGUUUUGUUCCACAGCCAGAAGACUGAAGGAAGGGCAUGAAUUCUUAAGUAGACCAUGCUGCCUUUUUAAUUUCUCCUCCUCCCCAUCCACCGUAAACCCAGCUGUAAACUCCACGUCCUUUUUGAUGUCAGUACCAUGCAAGGAAAAGCACGUGCUGUAGGUUGGCUGGACCACCCACGUGCAGGUAGGCAGGAACUAGCCACUGGCUGGAGGCACUAACCCAGGUUACCUUCCUUUACUUUUUGGACUUUCUAAGAACCCAGCAUAACAGAAAGCCUUUCACUGAAUUUAACUGACAUCCACCGGCUGGCUUAAACCUUCUUUGGGGGUGGCAGAUGAACACGGGGAGAAAACAGACACCCACAGAAAGAUCUUAGGAGAGCCAUUUCUCCAGGAGCGGGGGCAGAGAAAGGGAAAGUGCUCUCUGCAGACACCCCUGCACACAGAAAUUUGCUUUGGUGGAGAACAAAGGGCAAAGGCUGAAUGUAGUUUCGCUUACAGCAUGCUUUCAGGUGUAAUCAUGUUUAUUUUUUUAUUUGAUUUUUAAAACGUAUUAGAAUAAUGAUGUUUCUAUUUAAUACUGGAAACUAGCAUGCUGGUUUGUUUCUGAAAAAAAAAAAGAAAAAAGCCAGUAACUACUGCCUAGAGUACAACUAUGAAGACAGGCAUAGUAAUAUCAGUAGAGACAAACAGUUACCAAGCUUGGGUUUCAAUUGAGCCAGAUAUUUAGUCCAUCACAAAAGUGUAAUUCUUAAUCACGCAUAGCAAACUGGCUUGAUCUCAAGCAAACACUCAGCUCCCCAACUAUCCCCCAGCAGCUGGGCCCACACCCUCUGGUCAUUGCCCAAGAACAUCGCAAGACUGCUGGGAGGGAGCAGCAGCAGAGAAAAUCUCUCCCUGGUAGGCAGGGCUGGUCUUCUGAUAAACCUGCCACCUGAGCAGGGAGCAGGGCAUGAUAAUUUUCCAGCAGUCCCUAUAGGAUAGGAAGCCAAGCGUCAGAAUCAGCAGAAACAGAGCCCAGAUGAAAACCCAGUUCUGGGAAGGGGAAGUCUAGACAGAAACUUUACCCUUAAGUUUCUCAAGAUAACCAAGCGGAUCUAGCUCACACCCCUGCCUCUCCUCCACCCACUCCUGUUCCUCUUUGCUCCUCCCUAGAAUUUCUCUGACCCUGCAGCAAGCUGUUUCAGCUUACCAGACCAGAGAAGUAACUGGCCCCCGAUACAGUAGAUAAUAUGUUUUUGGGUUUUGAGGGUUUCUUUGCCUAGCCAGUGGAAUGAACCAGCCCACAGAGAUGAUCAGCGGGGCUCACACAAGGAAGCAGUCGCUGUUGCUCGGCCAGGAGCAGGAAGGGAGGGGUGGCGUGACUAAUACCAGCGAGCUUUUGGGAGGGCUCAGCCAUCCCUACAGAAAAGCAGGAAACCUCUUAGCUCUGCCACAGAUAGCCCCUCUGCUCUUGGAGCACCUCUCUCCCCUCUGGAUCAAAAGGGUUGGGCAGGCAGCCGAUAACUGCACUCUUGCUCAGUCUCUCGUCCCAGCACAGAGAAGAUCACGCAUUAAGUGGAAAACAAAGCCUCUUUCUCCAGCUCCCUCCCUUGCUGGCUGAACAUCCACUCACAGCACUGCUCCUUCUUUUUCCUGCCAAAUGCUGAGGACGUUUUUCCUCCACCCCAGAUUUUCCCAUUGUGCAACUCAUCUGGCUACUGAUGCCUGCAACAUUCCCAAGGGUUCAGAUCCCUGAUGUCAUGUCGCAGCCAUCCAGGCAAAGGCACUCCAUCAGGCUGAGCACACAGCUUGAUUUCAUUUAGCGAAUAAAAAGAAAUACAAAUUGCAUAUCCCACCUUUUAGUUCUGGAGAAUCCUUAAAAUUCCAGAGGACUGAGAAUGAAGCUGAGCAGUCACAAAGGUCAAAACAUGUGUCUGGAUCCACAAGAUUUUACCUGGGAUAUCUUCACUUGAAACUUCUGCUGGAAAUGAGCUUCAUUUGUUUCACUUCUACUCACUGUAAAAGACCUUACCUUCCUACUGAAUUACAUGAAACCAGAGCAGCGUUUCUAAGUCAAACGAGUUAAUGAUUAUGGAUCUCACCCUGCAAAAGCCAAAGUCCUUUUAUUUACAUCUGUGAAGGAGCUCCUUAUGAAGUCUUGAGUUUCUUUCGUCUGGGUGAUCCAACUUCUAUACUUGGUGUCUUUCUUGCAUGUGACACAGCUGACCCUUCUGAUGCAUGGAUCUGAGAAACUCUUAAAGAAAAUGGGAAGUCAAGAACUGAUCUGAAAUUUCUGGCCUAGGCUUUUAUCUAAAACAGAACAGCAGGAAAACUUUUCUUCCGUAGUGAAGACAACCCUGGUUUCAAUGCAAGGAAAAGAAACUUGUGCCCUUAAAGGUGUGCUUUAGUAAAACGGGCAAGUUAGGCUCGGCUUUACAAAGAGAGGCAACUCCAAGUGCUGUUUCUGCUGCUGGGGAUAAGGAAGAUGAAUCCAUAAGGAAUCUGAAGUUGCUCUCAAUCUGAACAGUUACUGCUAGGUGAACAGCAAAUGACAGUUUCUUCAUUAAGGAAGCACAUUCUUUCACAAAGAAACAGUCAAGGGCAUUUUCAAGUUAUAUCAUCAGAGAUGGACAUGACCGACUGCUGUAGGAAGGAGCUUUCAUAAGGGAGA
This is a long non-coding RNA of Egretta garzetta (little egret), 2891 nucleotides long. RefSeq lists it as uncharacterized. Lineage: Eukaryota; Metazoa; Chordata; Aves; Pelecaniformes; Ardeidae. The transcript is spliced from 3 exons. The record is from RefSeq and is a predicted model, not a curated record.